UACGUAGGGUGCAAGCGUUGUCCGGAAUUAUUGGGCGUAAAGAGCUCGUAGGCGGUUUGUCGCGUCGGCUGUGAAAAGCCCGGAGCUCAACUCCGGGUCUGCAGUCGAUACGGGCAGACUUGAGUGUUGCAGGGGAGACUGGAAUUCCUGGUGUAGCGGUGAAAUGCGCAGAUAUCAGGAGGAACACCGGUGGCGAAGGCGGGUCUCUGGGCAACAACUGACGCUGAGGAGCGAAAGCGUGGGGAGCGAACAGG
This 254-nucleotide ribosomal RNA is filed under the name uncultured bacterium. RNAcentral's name for it is "partial 16S ribosomal RNA". It matches the Rfam family "Bacterial small subunit ribosomal RNA", at positions 524 to 776 of the family's 1533-position model. The record is from RNAcentral.